This is a long non-coding RNA of Cyprinus carpio (common carp), 284 nucleotides long. Lineage: Eukaryota; Metazoa; Chordata; Actinopteri; Cypriniformes; Cyprinidae. The record is from Ensembl.
GCCAUCUCAACGACCAUCGAAAUCAUCUUUUCGCUCUGCUGAAAAUUUCAUCACUGUUUCUCAUUCCGUGUCACUCCAGAAGCUUCUGUCAGAACUGAACCGUAUCCUACAUCUCUGCCAAGAACGAGGGAGGAAGAGGGAGAUCAGGCCCUUCUGUCCUUCUUAUCUGAGACAGAUUCAUGCAGCACAGACGGACCGUAAGUGACACACGACUGAUGGAGAGAAAGACCAGCCUGCGUUUCAGCUUCCCUGUGCUCCAGAGAAAUGACCUAAUUUUUGACAUG